This 464-nucleotide ribosomal RNA is filed under the name Staphylococcus saprophyticus. RNAcentral's name for it is "bacterial SSU rRNA". It matches the Rfam family "Bacterial small subunit ribosomal RNA", at positions 54 to 500 of the family's 1533-position model. The record is from RNAcentral. Lineage: Bacteria; Bacillati; Bacillota; Bacilli; Caryophanales; Staphylococcaceae.
CAUGCAAGUCGAGCGAACAGAUAAGGAGCUUGCUCCUUUGACGUUAGCGGCGGACGGGUGAGUAACACGUGGGUAACCUACCUAUAAGACUGGGAUAACUUCGGGAAACCGGAGCUAAUACCGGAUAACAUUUGGAACCGCAUGGUUCUAAAGUGAAAGAUGGUUUUGCUAUCACUUAUAGAUGGACCCGCGCCGUAUUAGCUAGUUGGUAAGGUAACGGCUUACCAAGGCRACGAUACGUAGCCGACCUGAGAGGGUGAUCGGCCACACUGGAACUGAGACACGGUCCAGACUCCUACGGGAGGCAGCAGUAGGGAAUCUUCCGCAAUGGGCGAAAGCCUGACGGAGCAACGCCGCGUGAGUGAUGAAGGGUUUCGGCUCGUAAAACUCUGUUAUUAGGGAAGAACAAACGUGUAAGUAACUGUGCACGUCUUGACGGUACCUAAUCAGAAAGCCACGGCUAA